RNAcentral lists this ribosomal RNA (613 nucleotides) under uncultured Tuberaceae. RNAcentral describes it as "eukaryotic LSU rRNA". The stretch from base 200 to 353 matches the Rfam family "5.8S ribosomal RNA". Lineage: Eukaryota; Fungi; Ascomycota; Pezizomycetes; Pezizales; Tuberaceae. The record is from RNAcentral.
AAGUGUUCCCUGAUCUAAACCCUCUCUGCGUACUCAUCCAUGUUGCUUUCCCAGGGAAUUGGUUCCUGUAACCAUUUAAUCCUUCCAGCUAGCAGAGUCAACCUCACUAUGCAGGUCCCUGGGAAAGGGCUAAUCUAAAUUGAAUCAUUAAAUCAGCUGUCUGAUCUGGCCCCGUGCCGCAAAUCUUUGAAUAAGUUAAAACUUUCAACAACGGAUCUCUUGGCUCUCACAUCGAUGAAGAACGCAGCGAAAUGCGAUAAGUAAUGUGAAUUGCAGAAUUCAGUGAAUCAUCGAAUCUUUGAACGCACAUUGCGCCCCUUGGUAUUCCUUGGGGCAUGCCUGUUCGAGCGUCACUACAAACCCACUCAUAAACAUUAUGGUAAUGGUAGAAGUGAAGCGAGGCUACUAUGUAUGCCUUGGUCACUCUGCUGAAAUGAAUAGGCAGGACAAUCAACCUCUGCGAUAGACUUAUUAAUUGUUUUGAAAGCAAAAACCAGUCUCUUGCUCGGUUCUGGCCUGGCUCCCAUGGACCUCCAUGAAAGAUAAAUAUUGGGUUGACCUCGGAUCAGGUAGGGAUACCCGCUGAACUUAAGCAUAUCAAUAAGGCGGAGGA